GACGAACGCUGGCGGCGUGCUUAACACAUGCAAGUCGAACGGAAAGGCCCUGCUUUUGUGGGGUGCUCGAGUGGCGAACGGGUGAGUAACACGUGAGUAACCUGCCCUUGACUUUGGGAUAACUUCAGGAAACUGGGGCUAAUACCGGAUAGGAGCUCCUGCUGCAUGGGGGGGGUUGGAAAGUUUCGGCGGUUGGGGAUGGACUCGCGGCUUAUCAGCUUGUUGGGGGGGGAGUGGCCUACCAAGGCUUUGGUGGGUAGCCGGCCUGAGAGGGUGACCGGCCACAUUGGGCCUGAGAUACGGCCCAGACUCCUACGGGAGGCAGCAGUGGGGAAUAUUGCACAAUGGGCGGAAGCCUGAUGCAGCAACGCCGCGUGCGGGAUGACGGCCUUCGGGUUGUAAACCGCUUUCGCCUGUGACGAAGCGUGAGUGACGGUAAUGGGUAAAGAAGCACCGGCUAACUACGUG
Molecule: ribosomal RNA, 468 nt
Filed under: uncultured bacterium
Lineage: Bacteria
Description: partial 16S ribosomal RNA
Rfam family: Bacterial small subunit ribosomal RNA
Source: RNAcentral